GACUCCGUGAAGCUGGAUUCGCUAGUAAUCGCGCAUCAGCCAUGGCGCGGUGAAUACGUUCCCGGGCCUUGUACACACCGCCCGUCACACCAUGAGAGUUGGCAAUACCCAACGUACGUGAUCUAACCCGCAAGGGAGGAAGCGUCCUAAGGUAGGUCAGCGAUUGGGUGAAGUCGUAACAAGGUACC
Molecule: ribosomal RNA, 188 nt
Filed under: uncultured bacterium
Lineage: Bacteria
Description: partial 16S ribosomal RNA
Rfam family: Bacterial small subunit ribosomal RNA
Source: RNAcentral